UCUCCCAAGCAGCUGGGAAUAUAGGUGUGUGCCACCACACCUGGCUAAAGUUUAUUACAUAGUUUAUUAGUCUUGACAACAGCCCUAUGACAUAGGUACAAUUAUUAUCCCCAUUUUACAGAUGAAGAAACUGAGGCUUACAGAGGUUAGGUAACUUUAACCAAGCCUAAACAGCUAGUAAGUGGUGGAAGUGAUUCAAAUCUAAGACUGUGUUACUAAAAGAGCUGUGUUCUCAAUCACUCUGCCACACGGUACAAGAGAGGUGUUAGCUAGAAUGCCUUCAGGGGCAUAAUAAUAAUUAUAGUUAAUGCUGUUGUGGAAGGCUUAUUAUAUGGUAGACCCUAUUCUAAACACUCACCUAUGUCAACUUUAGGCUCUGCAUCUCACACUCUAUAAAGAAGGUGCUAUUAUUGGGCGCAUUUUACAGUAAGGAAAGUGAGGCACAGAGAGGUCUUAAGUUCACGGAACUAAUGAAUGGUGGAGCAGGGCUACAAAUUCAGGCACUCUGACUCCAAAGAUCAUCCUCUUAGCUGCUAAGCUAUGUUAAGGUAAAAUGUUCGUUUCUGUGUGAGGAAGCCCAGUCCACUUCGAGAGUCAGCUUUCUUUGUUAGAAAGUUGUGCCUGCAGCUCUAAUAGACUUCUCAGAAGCAAACAGAAGGGUUCAAGAGUCCAGCUGACAGCAGAGGCUCUUGCUCAAUCCUUUCCCAGAAUGCUUGUCUCCAUUACCCUUUAACCUGCAUCUUUGAACAAAUUGAUAUAUGGGGAGUUCAGCAAUGGCAGAUCUCAGCUGUGCCUUUAAUGUUUGAUAUGUCUGCUAGCACACCAUGUUUUUCAUUGGAUCUAAAGGAGAUCUAAUGAGAGAUCAUUUCCUAGUAACACAUUGUCUGCUUUCAACAUCACUAGGAAAGCACUUUGCUGCAAACAAUCCCUAUGUUGGUUUAAUUGCCUUUGAAAAGGGGCACAAGAGGGAGCAUCAACUCUUCAGAGUUUGGGUCUGAUUUCCUGAGGUGUUCCAUUUCAGAAGAGGCCCCUGACAACAGGCAGAGAAUAAAAACAAGUGUGGUCUAGGGCAGACAGUGUUUUUCAAACAGUUGGCCAAAUCUCUCCUGGCAGCCGGGAAGCAGCUGAAUCAUCAAACACUAGGCCUCUAACGAGAUGGAGGCUGGGCUGUAUUGAAGUGCAUUCCAGACUGACUGUGAAACCCAGAGCUGCUGCUGCUUUCCCAAUGCUGGCUCCCUUCCAAGGGGCUGGCCCAGCUGAGCUGCUUGUCAAAGCUUCAUUUUGUCUCUUCUCUCUCUUUUUUUCCUCCUCUUUGUGAUUUCCCAUGUAGCAUUUGCCUGCCCUUGGAUAGAAUAUUUGGAUGAAUUUUGGGGUCACCUCAGGUACAGCCUCUGCUCUGCAAGCUAAAGUUCAUGAACUGUGUUUACCUGUUGGAAAGUCAGAAUGGCAGAGGGGAAAGGCACUAAGCUAGAGCACUCGGGGAAUGGACAAGUGGACAGACAUUCUUUUCUGAGAGGCAGGAAUGACCUAGACAUUCCGAAAUUGAAAGCCAGAUGUUGGGAUAAAACUCUAGACUCAAUUUGAAUCGUAGGAGUGUUGACAACCUUGAUGAAAUCCUAUGACUAAAACUUUCUAGAGUAGAGGGGAAUUAAUGGGGCCUAAGUAGGGUAACCCACCUUGAAAAUAACCAGAUCCCUCUAUUUAUAUCAGAAACAAAUGUUUGGACUCUUUAAGUGCCAUGGUCUGAAUGUUUGUGUCUCCCCCAAAAUUCAUAUAUUGAAACCUAAUCCCCAACGUGGUGGUAAUUGAAGGCAGAGCCUUUAGGUGGUAAUUAGGUCAUGAGGGCAGAGCCCUCAUGAAUGGGAUUAGUGCCCUUAUAAAAGAGGGCAGAGGGAGCUUGUUUGGCCCUUCAGCCAUGUGAAGACGCAGCAAGAAAGUGCCAUCCAUGAAGCAGAGAGUGAGACCCCAUCAGACACUGAGUCUGCUGAUGCCUUGAUCUGGGACUUCCCAGCCUUCAGAACUAUCUGGCACAUUUCAGAAGUUGCUGACGUGUUGAUGCCUGCUAAAACACAACGUGGGAAGAAGAAUGAAUGUGGGCAAGCUCGGCUAGCCACUCAGAGGGAAAUGAUCUCAUUUCUCCUGCUGGGCAACCCCCAGUUGCUGCUACUCAGUCCUUCUUGAAGUCCAUUUUCGUAAACACUUUGCUGAUCAAGAAGUGUCUGAAGAUGGGAAGACGGAGAAAGCUUGUAUUGUUUACUGAGUAUCAGAGGACACUUCCUUCAAGUGACCUAAGGCAUGUGUGAGUGCUAUCCUACGAGCCACAUUCUAAAGGAGUGAAGUCAUCACGAACACUGCCUUAGAAGAGUGAGUUAGUGCCAAAGACUAUCCUCAACAGCAUUUACAGACUCACUUUUCUAAAAAUCCAGAGAUUUUUUUUAACAUAUAAAUCAAGAAUGAACAAGGCAAAUGUUCAGCAAUUCACUUCCAUGCAUUACUCCCCUUCUCCUUGGAACUCAAUUUCUUAGCCAGGUUGCUUUUUGGGGCUAAAAGAAAGGAAAACAGAGAUGGAGACAGACAGGGCCAAGAAGCCAAUAAAGAGAUGAGCUGCACAAAGCUAUAAUAAUCAGUAAACCUAAGCAGGAAAAAGCUGAGAGGAAGGAAAGUUACUUAAAAUCAGAGAAUGCGGGGAGGGAGAAAAAUUGCUUAAAAUUAGUUUACAGAAAAAGAAAAUUAAUCUCCAUUUUACUGUUGAAUGACCUUUAGUCUGGAAUUAGAAUUCUAUAAAGUCUAAACAAAGAGCCACAUUUAAUUCCCUGGGAAACUCCAAUUUUAACUUGGCUUUAAUAAUAAAAAUUUUUGUGUGCAAAUUCCGAAAGCAGCACACACAAAGAAAUUAAAGAAUACAAAAACCUGUCCUAGGUAAUCAUGGAAAUCUUACGUAAAGAGAAAAUGAAAAUCUUUUCAUGCAAUUGCACUUUACUCGAAAAUUCUACUAAUCCUGACCUUUCAGGUUUUGUGAAGUGCCAAAUGCAAAUUAAAUGAAAAUGAAAUCACAAUACAUUGGAUUUUAGAGAAAGGAAAUGGCUAAUCAUGAAUGCUUUUUUUUUUGGCAAGAACUGUUCAGGUGAAUAUUAUGCUUAGUAAUUGUUCAGGCAAGAAAGUGGGUAGAAAUAAGCUUUCUCUCCUACCAUGAGGCUGGAUGCAUGCUUUGUUCUCUGAGGGAAAGAUCUCUACACAUUGAAUAAAGGCGAAGUACUUACACUGGACUUUAGCGAGAGUCUGACCCACAGAAUUCCUUUCCUUUGUGGGAAAUAGGGGCAAUUCUCAGCAUGGGAAGUACACACACACACACACACACACACACACACACAUACACACACACACACACACACACACACACACAGACACAUCGCGCCCACUCUUUCCUUGCCUGCGCCUUUUGUCUCCAAACCUAAGGGACCACACACCAUCUCCAUUUUAUAGGCCCCUGUUUGACACUCUUAGGCAUUUCAAAUUUAUCCUGCCCAAGCCUAUAUUUAACAUUCUAGAUUAAAAUCAGAGAAUGUUAAAGCUGAAAGUUACCUUAUAUACACAUAGGUCGGCCAGUCAGUCAGCUCUUGCAAUAUUAAGGCCAUUUAAAUAAUUUAAUUGGCAAAUUAAAUUUCCUUGCUUUUUUCGGAAAAAAAAUAUAUUAUGUAAAGUUAGGUUAGCCUCUACAAAAGUAUUUGUGCUUUAGCUGUAAUCUGGCCAAUGAUUUUAGUGAUCAUUUAUGAAAAUAUAUCAUUCAUUCUAAGUCCUGUUAGGCAUUUAGAGGUGAAUUGAAAAUACUUAUUUCUGAAUUUGUUCCUCCUCUAUUUCUUAGGAUCACCUCUACCUCCCAUGCACAUUAACCUGGGAAAGAGACAGAAAAAAUCAGAAAAAAAAGAUGUUAGGAGAAGCUGAACAGACUGAAAUUCUCCAGAAUGAGAGUGAAAGGAGCUGAAAUGCCUUUGAAAUAUUAUUUCUCAGCAAACAAAAAUCACAGAAUAGAUGCUGCAGACUUGAAAAUGGAUAAACACUGUUUGUGCCUACAUCUUUAUCUCUUUGCAAUCACCUCAAGAUUGAAUUGUACUGUACACUAUGGAUGUCUAGUUGUGCUUCAGUUAUAGUACAUUUCCUUUGAUGCCAACUUCCCUAAUGUCAGGAUUUUUCCCAGAUUAAGAGUGAGAACUGGGAUUGAGCCAAACAACAACACAGAAUCCAUAAUCUUCAAUACAGUUCAAGGUUGUUUCUAGGGAUUAAAGAGUAGAAAAACACACCAAUGCAAUAUAGGGCAAAACAAAAUAUAGUGAUAUCUCACCCUAUCACCUAGCACACAGUCAUAUACAGAAAGGCUUAUAAUUUAUCUUGGUAGUAAAAAAUGUGUUACCUUAAGCCCUCUAUAGUUAGAUGAUUGCGUGAAAGGUAAAAAAGCAGAUUAGAAGGGAUGCAUCCAGGCAUAAAAAAGGAAUGCUGAUAGUAGAAGAGGAAAAUGUGAAAUACCCAGGGUCCAAGCUUAGUACACUAUGGUUAAUUAGUGGUGAGGAGCAAGAGCUAGUUAGUCCACAGGAGUCUCAGGGAUAGUGAGACCCCCAUCUCUAUAACAAAAAAA
This 4630-nucleotide long non-coding RNA is filed under the name Homo sapiens (human). RNAcentral's name for it is "HSALNT0408472". The record is from RNAcentral. Lineage: Eukaryota; Metazoa; Chordata; Mammalia; Primates; Hominidae.